This is a long non-coding RNA of Drosophila guanche, 526 nucleotides long. RefSeq lists it as uncharacterized. The record is from RefSeq and is a predicted model, not a curated record. The transcript has 2 exons. NCBI's taxonomy places the organism in Eukaryota, Metazoa, Arthropoda, Insecta, Diptera, Drosophilidae.
GCUCAGCGUGUGUGCCUCGUGUGUCUCGCAAACUGUGGCAGCAACAACGAAGCAUUCACAUCCACAUCGCAGCAUCGUAGCACCGUAGCAUCAUCCAGUUGCAUCGAACACUCUCGACUCAAUCAGUCAAUCAUUGAAUCUGUGUGGAAAACCAGUAGGCGGGUGCGUCUGCGUCGCGUGUGUCUGCUUGCCACUUGCUACGUGCCACUUGCCACUUGCUACGUGCCACUUGCCACUACGGCUUUGGGCUCUGACUUUGACUUUGUUCAAUAUUUUCGAGCGGGUUUUUUUCGAACCGCUUCCAGUUGCGUCGCGCUGCACCGCGUCGCGCAUUUGUUUUUGGAUUCGGAUUUGGAUUUGAAUUUUAAUCCCCCCCCCCGUACGUGUCACGUGCUCUUUGUUUGUUGUUUUUUUAUGUUGUGGAGUGAAGAGUGCUGCAACGUGCAACAUUUGGCGUCGUCUCCGCCGCUUGGACCUGCUCUGACUGACCGAAAAGUUUACACUGGCAACUGGUAGGCGACUGCAA